GUAUUAUGUGUUUUACAGUUGAUGGAACAUUAUUUACUUCACAAGUAUUAAAAGUGAAUUGAUACAGAAACAUGAUGUUGUAUUUUCACAGGAAUUACUGAAACAAUCCCAGACUCUGUUUGGAGCUUGAUGGUUGAUCAUGCAGUGGAUGUGACUUUCGACCCUGAC
Molecule: long non-coding RNA, 168 nt
Organism: Salvelinus namaycush (lake trout)
Lineage: Eukaryota; Metazoa; Chordata; Actinopteri; Salmoniformes; Salmonidae
Exons: 3
Source: RefSeq, a predicted model, not a curated record